UACACGUAUGGACGUCAUGUUCGUCACGUCUUUAUGGUAAUACGGAUUGAAGAUUUUCUCUGCUCUUUGGCCACACUCCAUGGGUUUCAAAGUUGCAUCCAGGGGAUGGAAUCUUGACUCCUUGCAUUUCAGUUCUAUCAUUAGUAAUUGGACUAAGGAAAAUUGAUGCAGGUCUAAGGGUAAAGAAGAAUGGCCGAGAGCAGAAUUUCAGUGCGGACUGGGAGCGCUGAUAUCUGGCAGCACAUCAUUUCCCACCAUUUAAUGGUUUUUGGUGGGAAUCUAUAAUCAAUUCAAAAUUUGAAUUUGAAAAACACAAUUUAUAAAAUCAUGUUACGAUUCCCACCCAUGAUUGUUGGAUGGUGGCAAAUAUGUGCCCACUAAAUCUUCAUGCACACGAGGUGCACAUAAUCUUUUCUUCUCCUCUAUAUGACAGGUAUAUUGACAUGAUGAUAAUAACAUGGAAAACAUGGGAAUUCAUGGAUUGUUGGAUCCAUUGAAGGCUUUUGGAUACAUUGCAGAAGCCUUGGAGAUGCUAUUGAUGUCCAUGGCAAAAGAUGGCACUGGGGCUCUUAGCUCAAUGGGAAAUGAUGCUCCUUUGGCUGUGAUGUCCAACAGAGAGAAACUUACAUUUGAGUAUUUCAAGCAGAUGUUUGCUCAGGUUACAAACCAACCGAUUGAUCCAAUCCGAGAGAAAAUAGUCACGUAGAAGGGGACCUUACUAAAACAGUUCAUGUGGAAGGCUAUGUGGCAGUUUGUUUGUUUUGAAAACUUUAAAUAGACCAUUAAUUGUUUUGUUGGUAUUGUGCUGAUUGUUGUCUUGACGGAUGUUAAAUGGGUGAAACACGCACAGGUUCAAUCAUUGGUUGAUUAUAAUAUUGUUAGCUUUUGUUGAUAGAAACUAAA
Magnolia sinica is the source of this 903-nucleotide RNA transcript. It is a transcript of the gene named glutamate synthase 1 [NADH], chloroplastic-like, with no coding region annotated. Lineage: Eukaryota; Viridiplantae; Streptophyta; Magnoliopsida; Magnoliales; Magnoliaceae. The transcript is spliced from 5 exons. The record is from RefSeq and is a predicted model, not a curated record.